UAAACUAGUUUAAAUAAAACAUUAGUUUUGGAUACUAAAAUUUACUUUUAUA
RNAcentral lists this transfer RNA (52 nucleotides) under Armadillidium album. RNAcentral's name for it is "tRNA-Pro". The record is from RNAcentral. Lineage: Eukaryota; Metazoa; Arthropoda; Malacostraca; Isopoda; Armadillidiidae.